This is a small nuclear RNA of Lampris incognitus (smalleye Pacific opah), 164 nucleotides long. RefSeq annotates it as U1 spliceosomal RNA. Lineage: Eukaryota; Metazoa; Chordata; Actinopteri; Lampriformes; Lampridae. The transcript has a single exon. The record is from RefSeq and is a predicted model, not a curated record.
AUACUUACCUGGCAGGGGGGAUACCGUGAUCAAGAAGGUGUUUCACCCAGGGCGGGGCUUGACCGUCGCACUCCGGUUGUGCCGACCACUGCGAAUUCCCCAAAUGUGGGAAUCUCGACUGAAUAAUUUCUGGUAGUGGGGGACUGCGUUUGCACUGUUACGGA